RNAcentral lists this ribosomal RNA (253 nucleotides) under uncultured bacterium. RNAcentral describes it as "partial 16S ribosomal RNA". It matches the Rfam family "Bacterial small subunit ribosomal RNA", at positions 524 to 776 of the family's 1533-position model. The record is from RNAcentral.
UACGUAGGGUGCGAGCGUUAAUCGGAAUUACUGGGCGUAAAGCGUGCGCAGGCGGCUUGGCAAGACAGAUGUGAAAUCCCCGGGCUCAACCUGGGAACUGCAUUUGUGACUGCAAGGCUAGAGUACGGCAGAGGGGGAUGGAAUUCCGCGUGUAGCAGUGAAAUGCGUAGAUAUGCGGAGGAACACCAAUGGCGAAGGCAAUCCCCUGGGCCUGUACUGACGCUCAUGCACGAAAGCGUGGGGAGCAAACAGG